This 645-nucleotide long non-coding RNA is filed under the name Gopherus agassizii (Agassiz's desert tortoise). Its description in RNAcentral is "lncRNA (ENSGAGG00000015739.1)". Lineage: Eukaryota; Metazoa; Chordata; Testudines; Testudinidae. The record is from RNAcentral.
UGGAGCUACACCAUUUUACACCAGCUGAAGAUCUGGACUUUAGCCUCUUGUGCAGAGGACUUCAAAGCACAGUUUUUCCAAAUCCGUUCUUGGUGUGUCAUCCUCUCCAUGUGACAGGAAAUGUGACUGCCGCAUUGCAGGACAUUUCUCACUUUGUCUUCAAAGUAUAGACCCUCAUCUUGUAUGGUACUGAAUGCCGACACCUCCUAUUGACUGAACUCUGCAGGAUUAGAUUGUAACUAGUGAGGUGCACAUAUAGGAAGGUGACUGGAAGAAAAUUCAGUGGAAUAUUUUUCCCACCAAGAGCAUUGAUGGGUGCACUUUCUUCUCCACCACUGGAAUUUCUCCUUUCUCUUCUCAGCGUUUCCUUUCUUGGAUGAAAUAUUUUACAGAAGUUUUGAGGCUUGUUUGCUUUUGCAAUCUUAGGAGGCAUCUGGUGCUGGUGAAAACACAUCUGAACACUUCCUAUUUGGUCUGCCAUUAAAUAUCUAGUACAGCUGUUCUGAACAUCCCAUCCCAAGCUGGAAUAGGAAGAGAAGUCCAGCCAGCCAUUUCCCCUGUGGCCAGCCGUAAGGAUCUUCCGGAAGGUAUGUGCUUUGGAUUUCAUCCCCCGACUAUUACACUCAUAAUGUCAGACCCCCAACG